RNAcentral lists this long non-coding RNA (611 nucleotides) under Macaca mulatta (Rhesus monkey). RNAcentral describes it as "lncRNA (ENSMMUG00000052285.1)". Lineage: Eukaryota; Metazoa; Chordata; Mammalia; Primates; Cercopithecidae. The record is from RNAcentral.
ACACGUGCCACCUGGUUGUGAAGCAGCCUGAGGUGCCCCAGGGGCAGGAGACCCUCUCUGGCCCCCAGGCUGCCUCCCUGGUGCUGGCCUCGGAGAGGACGUUCUCCCACCCGUCCCUGCAGCAGCCGUCACUUCAGACCUGGCCUUGAACCUCUGCCCAGGGUCCAGGUGCCUCAGACCCUUCGUUCGUGGGCAUUUUCUUUUCCUCGAGCUACCAAAAGAUGCCUUUGUCCUUGAGGUCUGGUUACAAAUCAAGCCCUGUGCCAUUCCUGGCUGGUGUCGUUCCUCUGGGGAAGAAGGCAGCUCUGCUGAACCAGCUACAUCCCUUGGCCCGGCAGGAGGCAGGACGAGGGAGUGAGCUGCGCAAAGAACACAUCCACCUGGGCUUGCUCCUCCGAACACCUUCAACACUCUCAGCCUCCUCUCCCACUCCGUUCUCCUCUUCUGAGCUUUCCCGAAUCACCAGUGCGUGGAGGCGGCCUCUCGUUCCUGUCCACCUCAUCACAGGCCGACACCCUAAUCACAGACAACGGAAACGGCUCCUGGACUCAGAUUCCAGAGGCUCCAAGGCCCUCGGUCCUGGCCAGGCCCCUCCAUGGUCACAGCAGUGA